AAAUCUAUAUCCUUCUACACUUUCAGGUAUGUCAUUUUUCAGGAGAAUAGUAGGGGGUUUCCACAGAACCCCUCUGAUAUCUUAUGUCAGAGUUCAGGUGUCAAAGGGACCCAGAUAGCACCAAAAGCUUCUGGUUCUGAAGGUCAUCUCACAGGUCACGGAGUUCAGGAAAGAGGGGAACAGCAGCCAUGCCCUAACUCCUUUUCUCCUCUCAAGUCCGUCCGUGCUGGCCUGGGGGAAGUGUAAUGUCCACUCAGUGCCAGGGCUUGGGCUGCUUCCACCCAAUGGGGAAAGCUACAAUUUCUGUUUUUAAGGCAGCGGCAUCUGGCAGGAGUCAGGUAGGACAGGGCCUGCCUUUGGCUCACAACCCAGAAUUAUUGCUGUCAUCUCCUAGAGGGCAGGGGUGGGGCAGGAAAACAUCCUCCUCAAUGUUUACUUCUCAGAGUCCAUUCAACACCACAUCCUGGCAGGCAGGUCUCACAGGGUGGGCAGGGAAACUGAACUCAAGGGAAGGUGGGCUACUCCACCCUUAGCAAGAAGCAAGCACACUGUGUUCAGAGAUCCCAAGGUCAUUGCAGGUGAGUACUUUUUAUGGUGAGAAUCUCAGUUGUGAAUUUUCUGCUUGGAGGAAAUAAAAGUCUCACAAGCAUUGGGAUAGCAUGAGAAAUGUUUCUCCAAGAACAACAUGUGCAAAUUCAAGAUUGUCUCCAAUGCACUUAACCUCAGACUCGGCCUAGUCUUUCUGUAGAGGGCCCAUUGUAUGACCUGAAAGGAGCCAAUUUAAAAGGCCCAUUUCUUGCUACUUCUAGCAAUAGCUGAUAUAACUGUAGUUGCUGAGUAUUUUUUAUUGAGAUAGUCGUAUUUUCUUCUUGCAAUAUGUUUUCCUCUUUUUUUCCCCCAGAAAGCCAGCUUGCCCUUUGAGCCCCUCCCUUGUCUCAGGGGAGGUUUGCGUUAUGGGUACAUGAAACAAAAAUUAUCUAAUGUAGAUGAGAAAGGCAAUGUCUUUUUCUGACUCGGGGGCUGUGCUUCUUGGGAGGAUUAUGCCAGAGAGAUGGGAGAAAAGUGAGUACUCUUUGAGAAGGUGCCUCCCAAGACAGGAGCAAAUGGAAAUCUGCAUAGGAGAGGUAAGAUUCACUCCAUGGACCAAGGAGACAGGAAGGAAGGAGACAGGACUGAGGAGUUUGGACCCUCACAAAGAGUUCUGCCUUGGCUAUAAUUUCUCUGCCCUCACACAGCAGGUAAAAUAGUGGGGAUACCAGAUCAAUGCUAUUUGGACAAUGGAUGUAUCUCAGCAAACCCAGUGUGGAGCUGAAGUUCUCUGAAGAAGUCACAUCUCCAUUAAAGAUUCUGAAGACCGACAUUGACUGAGUACAACAUCGUGAUUGAGGAGAGAUGAAAUGCUGCAGGUCAAGAGCCAAAAUUAUCUUGGGCUGUCUUCGGCCUUUCAAUAGCUACUUUCAACCUCUGUAUUUGACCUAACAUUCUUAUGACUCUUAACGUAAGACUACUGGAAGUUAUGCCUAAGCUCAGCAGACCUCUGACUUCCACAAACCCUAAAGCUAAGACUUCUAUGAGAUAAUAUCUGAAACCCACAGGAAAGGUAUCCCCGCAUUACUGGAAUCCACCUAAAUAAUGCCCUGACCCAUGUAUUCGGUAAUUGCAUUGAUUUAUGAUUUCCUCUUUUCCUGUGACUUUAAAUGUUCGCGUAACCUCUUUCAUGGUGGAGUAUGUUAUUCAGGGCCAUCUGAAUCAGUGUUCCCAGACCUUGGUCACUGAUAUUUGGCUCAGAAUUCUCUCUCUCUUAUUUCCUUUGAAACAAGAUCUGUAUUUUGUAUUGAUGCUAGAAUGAUCUGAUGUUUGAUUUUUCUAUGAUCUCAGGAAGGAAGACUCUUAUCAGACAGAAAAAAAAAAUUCUACCCACUGAAGUUUGGUCUUGGAGGCCUGCUAAUUAAACUGGCAAAAAGAUACAUUCAGAGGCUGGCGCUGUAGCUCAGUGCAGAGCCCUUGCCUAACAUGCCUGAGGCACUGGGUUCAAUAGUCAGCACCACAUAAAAA
Molecule: long non-coding RNA, 2055 nt
Filed under: Marmota monax (woodchuck)
Lineage: Eukaryota; Metazoa; Chordata; Mammalia; Rodentia; Sciuridae
Source: RNAcentral